UGAGUUUCUUUGCACUGAGUAAUGUGAAAUCCCAGAAAGAUCAUAGGAUUGUUUGAUGAAGGAAGGUCAACGAUCGGGUGCUGUAAAGUUAGAUUCUAGCUUCUAGAUUGUUGAUUUCUUAGUAUAAAGUGGCGAUUUAGGUGAACCACCCUCAACCUGUAAUCAUCCAGCUUCAGGAAUAAAAGUCCAGCAUGCGUAGCCUGCUUUGCUUGACAAGGCAGGAAAGAUGAAGCUCUAAGGUCAAGUAUUGCUGCUGCAAAAGUAUACAAUCAAGACAAAUAAUAUAAUUCAAAACACGCAAAUGAUAAAAAAAAAGAAUUGCGACAUGUUCGGUUUUGUGUGGGAAAUCAGAAGAAUUCGGAUCUCGAAAGUGUGCUGGCUUUUUGAGCUGGGGGAGUCGAUGGAAGUAGAAUAUAGCUGAACGAAGACUUUUCAAAUUAAUGAGAUGAAAUUUGAGAUUCUACCUCUCCAUUUUUAUAGCUUGUAGACUUAUAGUUUACCUUUUCCAAGGGAAUUCAUGACGACGAGUACAAACUUGCAGGAGCUGCUCGUUC
This 554-nucleotide long non-coding RNA is filed under the name Eucalyptus grandis. RNAcentral describes it as "long non-coding RNA (EGRA_LNC006231)". The record is from RNAcentral. Lineage: Eukaryota; Viridiplantae; Streptophyta; Magnoliopsida; Myrtales; Myrtaceae.